UUCCGGCUUUUUUUUUUUUUUAAUUAAAACCAUACUAAAAAUCAUGCUUUCGUGUCAGUCGGGCUUUAAGUAUAAUAUGUCCAUGUCUGGUGGCACGGUGGGCCAGCUGUACAGCAUUGGCCUCACAGUUCUUAGGUCCGGGGUUCAUAUCCUGGCCCCAGUUGUGUGGAGUUUGCAUGUUCUCGCAGUGUCCGCGUGGGUUUUCUCCGGGCACUCCGGGCUCCCGUGUCCCCAAAAACAUGCAUUAAAUGGACACUCUAAAUUCCUCCUAUGUGGGAUUGUGAGUGCGACUGUUCUCUGUCUCCAUGUGUCCUCCUAUUGGCUGCCAACCAAUUCAGGGUGUGCCCUGCCUCCUGCCUAAUGACAGCUGGGAUUGACUCUAGCACUCCCGCGGCCCUCGUGAGGAUAAACGACUCAGGAAAUGGACAGAUGGAUGGAUAUACAGUGAUGCCUCGGUUCUCAACCAGAAUCCGUUCCAGAAAACAGUUCCAGAAGUGAUUUGUUCAAAAACCGAAUCGAUGUUUUGCAUUCCAAUGAAUGGAAAAAGAAAUAAUGCAUUCCAAGCCUAAAAAAAUUGGCUUUUUAAAGCAUUUUUUUUCAGUUUUUCCUGAUAAUAAACUGCAUAGUAGAUAUACAUGUAUAAUUUAAAUACUUUAUAUAAUAAAAUAAUUUAAGAAAUAUAUUUAUUUUAUCCUUCAAAUGUAUGCUUUAGUAGUAGAGUACGCUAGUCUGGGAGUGCAUUCCCGUAUCUGUAGCGACUCGGCCACCAGCCUUGUAAACUUUUUUUUAUUAACAAAAGUGCAGAAUAACUUUUUUAACAAUUUACCUUCUUUGGAAUUGUGAUUGGGGGUUAUUACGGUAGUCCUCGAUAAGAAAAACAGUCACUUCCUGGACACGUCUGUGUACAGAGGCUGCGUUAUACAGAAAAACAAAAGUGCGCUGGUUGCGCCGCGCGCAUUAUGUUAUUCCCGGGUUUUUUCAGCGGCGUGUGAAUUCACAACAAAGUGCGUCGUGGGUCAGCUGGUCUGGCCGCGCCCAUUGUUAUUGUAAAUGUUAUUGUUGUUUUGUCGGGGAGUUCGAGUACCGAUUUUCGUUCAAAAACAGAAGCAAAAAAAUCUCGAAAUUGUCGUUCGAUGACCGAUUUGUUCGAGAACCGAGGCUUUACUGUACUGUACAUCCAUCCAUCUAUCAAUUCAUCCGGGGCCAGGCCAGGCCAAUGUGGCGACAAAGCCAAAAUUUUAUAUACCUUGCCUGGAACCUCCAUCAUCAGGACCCCUCUACCAACACACAGGCACGGGGAGAACAUGGAAACUCUACACAGGGAGGGCUGGGAUGAACCCGGGUCCUCAGAACUAUGUGAGGCCACGCUUUACCAGCUUGUCCAUUCUCAACUCGUAAAACAGGAUAAUAAUGUGAACAAAUGGCAGCACAGUGGAGCAUCUGCACAGUGCAGUUUAUCCUCUACAUUACAUAUCCUUGGCCAAGCCUUCAAAAGGAGCAUUAUGACUCAUCUCCAAUCCGAAAAAGAUCCAUAGUAGCUUUAUUUGGUGCAUUGCUGUGGAACUUAAAGGAAUAUAAGAGUUUAAGCUUAAAGUAGUUCAUUAGAUGUUGCUGCAUCCUGUGUAUGAAAGUGUGAGACUGUAAAGUGCUGAGUGUGUGACUGGUGAAACGAAACAGGGUAUGUGGUGCAAGAAUGGAAUGUUUUAGAACAGACGGUGCUAAAUGCAAGGAGGAUGCUGACACGGGAGGAGUCGGAGGCAGUUGGUGGAAAAACUACUGUCAGGAAACCACCACCAGGAGGAGCCAGCACGCGAUUCUGCAGGGGAGGAGUCGGGCCAACAUCCGGCGGACCAAAGGAGACCAAUGAGAGAGCGCCAAGGAUACCUGCAGGAGACUCAGAACCAAUAGUGAAUCAGUAGAUUGUACUUUAAAAUUGUUCUGGGAAACUCGGAUGUAGGGUACGUCUGCUGGUGGCAACAGAGACGUACAGGGUUGUAAUGAGAGGGACCCGAGACCCAGAACGAGCGCCCGUAUUGUUGGAUGAGUGGCAGUUGGAGCGGAAAUACCCAACAAGGGGCGUGACGUCAGAGCCGGUGACAUCAUGGGUCCCACAAAGGCAUCAUUCAUUUGAGGCAGUUGGACAGCGCACAUGUUCGAAAUAGCUGGCGAUGAAGGUGGCGACCCAGCACUCAGACCCAGCUAGGAGGACAUGCUCUUUUUGGAAACACAGGAUUGGUGUGCAUGUACAUGCAGCAUAAGUAUGCAAACAAUAGGACAGUUUCUGUUGCCAUGAGAGUCAACAUAUUCACCAGAAAAUGGCAAAUUAUACAGACCAUCUGCUGCAGUGCAUGAUGGAGCACCCAGGAUUUAUUGCCAGCUGUCUGAACAUAUGGGUAUUGGAGGUUGCGUUUUUACAAUACAGGCAACAGUAUCAGCUGUUUGGUCUUCGAGGUAUUCUCCCCACCAACUCACAACAUCCUGAGUUGAGGUCAGCAGUGUCCUAUCUCCACAAUACAGAGUGUUGACGGUGCACUGCUUCCCCAUCCUGAAACGCUGGACGGUGGACCAGAAUUUCCUCAAAGCCAUCCUGAAGUCGUUCUCUAUGGCCUCACUGAACUACUCCUACGCCCGGGUUUUUGCCUCAGUGACCACCGAAGCUGCAUUCUGCUUGGCCAGCCAGUACCUAUCAGCUGCCUCAGGAGUCCCACAAGCCAAAAAUGCCCGAUAGGACGCCUUCUUCAGCUAGACAGCAACUCUCACUGUUUGUGUCACCAAUGUGUUCGCGGGUUGUUGCCCUGACAGGCACCGACCACCUUACGGCCACAGCUUCGGUCGGCCGCUUGAAGCAGAUUGAUGGAGCUCCGAGAGGGGGCACUCUCCAGGACUCCCUCAAAGGACUCCAAAAAUUGUGGGUGCUCUUAACUACUGUUUGGUGCAUAAGCACAAACAACAGUCAGGACCCAUCCCCCUACCUGCAGGUGGAGGGAUGGUACCCUCUCAUCCACCAGGGUAAACCCCAACAUACAGUCCCCGAGCAGGGGGCUAAUAAGUAUACCCGCACCUGCUCGGCGUCUCUUGCAAAGUGACUAGUAUGUAAUACUGCUUGUUUUAAUGCAAUGUUGCAUUUUAUUAAAAUUAAAAA
Syngnathoides biaculeatus (alligator pipefish) is the source of this 3142-nucleotide RNA transcript. RefSeq lists it as uncharacterized. Lineage: Eukaryota; Metazoa; Chordata; Actinopteri; Syngnathiformes; Syngnathidae. The transcript has 5 exons. The record is from RefSeq and is a predicted model, not a curated record.